This 243-nucleotide ribosomal RNA is filed under the name uncultured bacterium. Its description in RNAcentral is "partial 16S ribosomal RNA". It matches the Rfam family "Bacterial small subunit ribosomal RNA", at positions 116 to 353 of the family's 1533-position model. The record is from RNAcentral.
CGUGGGUAACCUGCCUUAUAGUGGGGGAGUAGCCUUUCGAAAGGAAGAUUAAUACCGCAUAAGAUUGUAGUAUCGCAUGAUAUAGCAAUUAAAAGGAGCAAUUCGCUAUAAGAUGGACCCGCGUCGCAUUAGCUAGUUGGUGAGGUAAUGGCUCACCAAGGCGACGAUGCGUAGCCGACCUGAGAGGGUGAUCGGCCACAUUGGGACUGAGACACGGCCCAGACUCCUACGGGAGGCAGCAUG